CCUACGGGUUGCACCAGUGGGGAAAAUUGCACAAUGGGCGCAAGCCUGAUGCAGCCAUGCCGCGUGUAUGAAGAAGGCCUUCGGGUUGUAAAGUACUUUCAGCGAGGAGGAAGGCAUUAAGGUUAAUAACCUUAGUGAUUGACGUUACUCGCAGAAGAAGCACCGGCUAACUCCGUACCAGCAGCCGCGGUAACACGGAGGGUGCAAGCGUUAAUCGGAAUUACUGGGCGUAAAGCGCACGCAGGCGGUCUGUCAAGUCGGAUGUGAAAUCCCUGGGCUCAACCUGGGAACUGCAUCCGAAACUGGCAGGCUAGAGUCUUGUAGAGGGGGGUAGAAUUCCAGGUGUAGCGGUGAAAUGCGUAGAGAUCUGGAGGAAUACCGGUGGCGAAGGCGGCCCCCUGGACAAAGACUGACGCUCAGGUGCGAAAGCGUGGGGGGCAAACAGGAUUAGAUACCCGAGUAGUC
Molecule: ribosomal RNA, 465 nt
Filed under: uncultured bacterium
Lineage: Bacteria
Description: bacterial SSU rRNA
Rfam family: Bacterial small subunit ribosomal RNA
Source: RNAcentral